AUGUAAAUAUUUGUGUGAAUUAGGAUUUAUUUAAAUAAUUUAUCUUUUUCUUUUAAUCUCAUUAAUUUAUUUUAUAAAUGCAAGUAAAUUUGUAUAUAGUAAUUUUAUUUUAAUAUUGGCUAAAUUUGUGCCAGCAGCCGCGGUUACACUAAUGAUAUUAAUAUAAUUUUAUUAAUUAUAAGUAUAAAAAUUAGUUUUAAAGGAUAAAUUUAUUAAGUGAAAUUUUAAAUUUAUUAUUAAAAUAAGAAUAUUUUGAAGCUAAUAAAUUUCAUUUAAAAACUAGGAUUAGAUACCCUAUUAUUUGAAACUUAAAUAAUAAUAAUUUAGGUAGUAUUAGUUAUGUUCUUGAAACUUAAAAAAUUUGGCGGUAUUUUAGUCUAUUCAGAGGAACCUGUUUUUUAAUCGAUAUUCCACGUUGUACCUUACUUAAUUUUGUUUAUCAGUUUAUAUACCGUUGUUUAUAGAAUAUUUUAUAAGAAUAAUAAUUUUCAAUAGUUUUUUAAAAAUUUAUAUCAGAUCAAGGUGUAAUUAAUAAUUAAGUAAAUAUGGGUUACAAUAAAUUUAUUUUGUCGGAUUUAAAUUUGAAAUAUUUAAUGAAGUUGGAUUUGAUAGUAAAAUUAUAUAGAUUAAUAAUUUGAUUAUAGCUCUAAAAUAUGCACAUAUCGCCCGUCGCUCUUUCUAUUAAAGAAAGAUAAGUCGUAACAUAGUAGAUGUA
Molecule: ribosomal RNA, 715 nt
Filed under: Adapsilia cornugaster
Lineage: Eukaryota; Metazoa; Arthropoda; Insecta; Diptera; Pyrgotidae
Description: partial 12S ribosomal RNA
Source: RNAcentral